CCUACGGGAGGCAGCAGUGGGGAAUAUUGGACAAUGGUGGAAACCCUGAUCCAGCGACGCCGCGUGAGUGAAGAAGUAAUUCGUUAUGUUAAGCCCUAUUAGCAGGGAAGCAAAUGACGGUACCUGAGUAAGAAGCCCCGGGUAACUACGUGCCAGCAGCCGCGGUAAUACGUAGGGGGCAAGCGUUAUCCGGAUUUACUGGGGGUAAAGGGAGCGUAGGCGGCAGUGCAAGUCUGGAGGGAAAGGCGGGGGCUCAACCCCCGGACUGCUGUUGAAACUGGACGGCUGGAGUGCGGGAGAGGUAAGUGGAAUUCCGGGUGUAGCAGUGAAAUGCGUAGAUAUUACGAAGAACUCCGGUUGCGAAGGCGGCUUACUGGACUGUAACUGACGUUGAGGCUCGAAAGCGUGGGGAGCGAACAGGAUUAGAUACCCGAGUAGUC
RNAcentral lists this ribosomal RNA (440 nucleotides) under uncultured bacterium. Its description in RNAcentral is "partial 16S ribosomal RNA". It matches the Rfam family "Bacterial small subunit ribosomal RNA", at positions 338 to 795 of the family's 1533-position model. The record is from RNAcentral.